Molecule: small nucleolar RNA, 126 nt
Organism: Jaculus jaculus (lesser Egyptian jerboa)
Lineage: Eukaryota; Metazoa; Chordata; Mammalia; Rodentia; Dipodidae
Source: Ensembl
AAGCACUGUUUGUAACCUGUCCGCCUGCUGUGGUGGGUGGAUUCCAUUCCAGUGCCACAGCAUUUCCAGUGACACAUACAUGACUGGUGGGCUGGUAGCUUUCAGUUUUAGGUCCUGGAGACAUAG